ACCACAAGACCGGACAUGUCAUAUUUGCGUUGCACGCUGUCUAACCGUAUCUAUUGGACAAUUUUUCGGCUAAGAAUGCGAUGUGGAGAGUAGCUAUGUCGGAAGAGGUUGGGAAGAAGAUGCAGGCGGUGUUGGACCGGGUAAAUCUGGCAGUCACCCGACGCCCUAAGACAUUACCGUGCAUUGCACCUAGGUUAGUUGCUGUGAGUAAAACCAAGCAUCCAGACAUGGUAGUUGAGGCUUAUAAACAUGGGCAACGCAACUUUGGAGAGAACUAUGUAAAUGAGCUUGUGGAGAAAGCCUCUCACCCUCUGAUUUUGACAUUGUGCCCUGAAAUCAAAUGGCAUUUCAUUGGACAUCUACAGAAGGGCAACGUUAAUAAACUAUUAGGUGUUCCAAAUCUUUACAUGGUUGAGACAAUUGACUCUGUAAAACUGGCUGACAAACUUAACAGUUCGUGGCAGAAAUUACGAUCUUCUAACACCCAGGGGUUAAAGGUCAUGGUACAGAUCAACACCAGCGGCGAGGAAAACAAACAUGGCCUGAAUCCUGAUGAAACUGUUGAUACAGUGAAGCACAUUGUAUCUAAUUGCCCUGCUUUGGUCUUCUCUGGACUCAUGACUAUUGGUCGUUAUGGUUAUGAUCUCAGUGAAGGCCCCAAUCCAGAUUUUCAGAUCUUGAUAAUGCGUCGUGAAGAGGUGUGUGAGUGUCUAAAACUUCCACUGGAACAUGUUGAGCUCAGUAUGGGCAUGUCCACAGACUUUGAACAUGCGAUUGAGGUAGGCUCCACUAAUAUCCGUGUUGGUAGCACCAUUUUUGGAACACGUGAAUAUCCAAACACACCUAGCCCCAGCCCAGAAAAGAAGCCAGAGGUAACAUCUGCAGAAUCAGCAAAGAAGAUGGAACAUCUUACAGUAAAAGAGCAUUAAAUAAUAGAAACAGUGAUACACACUUAAUCCAGAUGGUUUAAGUGAACCCAGCCAUAUGAAAAUUAAAUAUAGACCUGGUCUUCCUAGGAAAUGACCAGGCAGAAAAUGUGAAGGUCUCAAAAAAGGGCAGUAAAUCUCCAGUAAAAGCCAUUCAGCUGGUAGAACAUCUAGCAACUAAAUAAGGUCUGUUACAUGUUUAUUGGGGGACCUUUAUUGGAUGCAAAGCAUCACAUCAGCAAUUUUCUGUUAAUAUUUGAUGUGAUUUGACUCUCAUGUGAUUUGAGAGUAUUUUAGUUUUCAUUUUAUUCAAAUUUAAAAAAACCUCCCAACAUUUUCAGAAUUCGUGUGUGUGUGUGUGCACGCAUGCUAGAGUACACAAUAUUCAUGGUCUGGAAUAACAUUUUUUGAUCAUACGUAGUCACAAGUUUAUACAGUCUGAUCAAACCAAGACACAUUUCUAGCCUAAAUCAUAUGAUAUAUCUGCUCAAUUUGCUAAGCAAUUUAUUUUUUUUACUAAAUAAAAUCUCUCUCUCUCACUAUGUAAAAUAAAAACCACAAUCUUUACAGCAGCAGGGGUGGAAAUAUUUAGGUAAGGUUAUUAUAUAUAUUUCCAGACCUGAUUGAUCCAUCUUGAUGCCCUACCCCUGGUUGGAGUCUCAUCUUGUCUGGUGUUGCACUCAGAAAUUACCCAGACCUAUUAGUUCCUCAGGACCUCUUGGGUCCACUCGGCUGUAUACCAUUGUAGAAAGGACUUUAUUUACAUUAUUUACUGUCCAGUGUCACCCAAAUGAGGAUGGGUUCCCUUCUAAGCGUGAUUCAGGUGGAAUUGGAAUUAUGCAACCAAGAGCUCCUGAGGAACUAAUAGGUCAGUGUAAUUUCUGAGUUCAUAACAGAAUUAACACUAAUUCCUUCCUGUCUAUGUCUUCAAAUUUUCACUGAUGAAGACCUGAGCACAAAACUGAAACGGCAGGUCUGGAAAAAGGAACCCAUGAGUGGUAGGGACAGAGAGAGAAUUAUUAGGUAUGCUUGUAAUCAUGUGAUGGUUAAAGACUAAGUAGAUUAUGUGCAAAGUGCAGACAGGGACUCUAGCAAGACUAGCGAUGAUAAAAGGAGAGCCGGAAGAUGACACAAACCUGAGGGCUUCCUGGGAAAUAAAGCAUCUAACCUCUCCACAGUCCGCAAACCUGAGCGACUUGGAUGUUUGGAUGCUGUCGCCUUGCCAAUCUCACAAGUUCACCAAACACUCUAAGCUCAACCUCUGCUAAGAACAAUUUCUAGCUACAAACAACUUUGUCAUGCACACACAAGGUCAGUCCCUCACACAACCUCUUAAUACAAUUUUCUAUCACGAUUCCCUCCUUGGGACAACACACAAAAAUAUUUUAUUAAUCAUUAUCAAGAAUUUAACAGAUUGGAGAUUUAAAGGGCUAUAACAGUACACUGGCAUCAAUCAAGAAUACAAGUACAUUCUUUCAUGCAAAAUGGAAUUGUUUGUUAAAUUAUUUCGUUACUGCGCAUGUAUGACGUGAACACAUUUCCACUUCUGAUUAUUGAGAUGAGUCAUUUAAUAAAAAGUUGUGUGCUGUUCAAAGAAA
Tachysurus fulvidraco (yellow catfish) is the source of this 2524-nucleotide RNA transcript. It is a transcript of the gene named pyridoxal phosphate binding protein, with no coding region annotated. The transcript has 9 exons. Lineage: Eukaryota; Metazoa; Chordata; Actinopteri; Siluriformes; Bagridae. The record is from RefSeq and is a predicted model, not a curated record.